RNAcentral lists this small RNA (438 nucleotides) under Arabidopsis thaliana (thale cress). RNAcentral describes it as "ATSL164560". Lineage: Eukaryota; Viridiplantae; Streptophyta; Magnoliopsida; Brassicales; Brassicaceae. The record is from RNAcentral.
AAAAAAAAACAAUAGAAAAAUUCCAUUGUCCUUCCUCAUUCAUCGGAGAGUUCUCUUUGGGCUUUCCGAAAAGGUAUCACAUGCCAAGUUUGGCCUCACGGUCUAAAACUUAUAGAAUCAUACAUUCUUAACAAAAAAAAAAAAAAAACCGAAAAAAAGAAGAAUGCAACACAAGGACUUUCCAGGAGGUCAACCAUCCUAGUAGUACUCUCGCCCAAUCACGCUUAACUGCAGAGUUCUGAUGGGAUCCGGUGCAUUAGUGCUGGUAUGAUCGCAUCUGUUACUACAUGCAAUGCAAUCGUAUCUAUUCUUUUUUGAAGACUUUAUGAUCCAUUUGCCGUGGGUCCCACCAGCUAUGUAGGAAUACCUUAUCUUGUUUAUAAGAGCUUUGAUACAUGCAAAAUAUUCGAAUACAAUGUCUGAACGUAUAACUUUCGC